This 499-nucleotide ribosomal RNA is filed under the name uncultured bacterium. RNAcentral's name for it is "partial 16S ribosomal RNA". It matches the Rfam family "Bacterial small subunit ribosomal RNA", at positions 28 to 523 of the family's 1533-position model. The record is from RNAcentral.
GAUGAACGCUAGCUACAGGCUUAACACAUGCAAGUCGAGGGGUAGCAGGGUAGCAAUACCGCUGACGACCGGCGCACGGGUGAGUAACACGUAUCCAACCUUCCCAUAACUCGGGGAUAGCCUUUCGAAAGAAAGAUUAAUACCGGAUGGUACUUUUUCAAGGCAUCUUGAGAAAGUUAAAGAUUUAUUGGUUAUGGAUGGGGAUGCGUUCCAGUAGAUAGUUGGUGAGGUAACGGCUCACCAAGUCUUCGAUGGAUAGGGUGUAUGAGGUGAAGGUCACCCCACAUUGGUACUGAGACACGGACUAAACUCGUACGGGAGGCAGCAGAGAGGAAUAUUGGUCAAUGGGCGAGUGCCUGAACAAGCCAAGUAGCGUGAAGGAUGAAGGUCCUAUGGAUUGUAAACGUCUUUGAUAGUAGAAUAAAUUGAUCCACGUGUGGAUGUUUGUAUGUAUACUAUGAAUAAGGAUCGGCUAACUCCGUGCCAGCAGCCGCCGUAA